UAUUCUUGGAUCUGGAGAGAUUCUCUUACAGUUUAUUUUUGGUAUUAGUUUCCUAGAGGCAACUAGAGGUAAUGUUGCUUAUGACUCUGGAUACAUUCUCUAUGUUUUUUAUAUUGUAUUGAGUGUGUUGGGUAUUGGGUCCCCUGCCUUUUCUUUUGGUUCUAUUGCAAACGAAUGGUCUGUCCUGUGAGAACCACCCAUUAAGGUAUCUUUCAGCCUUCAUGUACAAAUUAAAACUGAUUUUAGUUUCGUCAGUGUGUGUUCCUUUUCUUUUGUAGUUUUCCUUGAUUGUUGCUAAAGUCUGAGACUCUGGAGGAAUUCAUGGAAAUCCUAAAAUGGGCAU
This 343-nucleotide unclassified non-coding RNA is filed under the name Hevea brasiliensis (rubber tree). The record is from RNAcentral. Lineage: Eukaryota; Viridiplantae; Streptophyta; Magnoliopsida; Malpighiales; Euphorbiaceae.